Non-coding RNA from Pelobates cultripes (western spadefoot toad), 380 nucleotides. Lineage: Eukaryota; Metazoa; Chordata; Amphibia; Anura; Pelobatidae. The record is from the annotation of a GenBank genome assembly.
CCCAAAAGCACAUGAUCAAUGCCCAAAACAUAUUAAUUGACAGAUACACCCACAUACACCUAGAACGCAGCUCUGAAUGCCAUGUGUUGAGAUGAGCAUGUAACACCGAGCUCUCUCUGUCUCUGGCUGCAAAAUGAGCUCAGCCUCUCUGCACAUGUGAUAGCACUGGCAACCACCACUAGGUAAUGCAGCCACUGGGCAUGUUUCCUCUUAUCGCCAUCUCCUCUGCUGUGGGGCACAGAAUGCAGUAACAAUGUCACUGCACAUUAUCAGUAACCCCUUCACUGCAGACCAUCAAAUAACCCUUCACUGCACACCACUAGUAACCCCUUCACUGCAUACCACCAAGUAACCCUCUCACUGUAUAGGACCCCUUCACA